AUUUUAGAGGAAGUACAAGUCGUAACAAGGUCUCCGUUGGUGAACCAGCGGAGGGAUCAUUA
Molecule: ribosomal RNA, 62 nt
Filed under: Grosmannia abiocarpa
Lineage: Eukaryota; Fungi; Ascomycota; Sordariomycetes; Ophiostomatales; Ophiostomataceae
Description: partial 18S ribosomal RNA
Rfam family: Eukaryotic small subunit ribosomal RNA
Source: RNAcentral